GAUCCUGGCUCAGGAUGAACGCUAGCUACAGGCUUAACACAUGCAAGUCGAGGGGCAGCAUUUUAGUUUGCUUGCAAACUGAAGAUGGCGACCGGCGCACGGGUGAGUAACACGUAUCCAACCUGCCGAUAACUCCGGGGAUAGCCUUUCGAAAGAAAGAUUAAUACCGGAUAGCAUACGAAUAUCGCAUGAUAUUUUUAUUAAAGAAUUUCGGUUAUCGAUGGGGUAUGCGGUUCCAUUAAGUUUUGUUGGG
RNAcentral lists this ribosomal RNA (253 nucleotides) under uncultured bacterium. RNAcentral describes it as "partial 16S ribosomal RNA". It matches the Rfam family "Bacterial small subunit ribosomal RNA", at positions 15 to 256 of the family's 1533-position model. The record is from RNAcentral.